ACAAGGUUUGAAAGAAAACCCUCCACAAAACGACUUUCUUCCCACUUCAGUCCGCUCACUUCGUCAGCGCUGGUCAGACUCGAGAGAUGGCUCAAGUUAAGCUGAAACAGACCAGGAGCGUCCCGCUUCAGGAGCGUCCCACAUCAGCAGCUAGGCUCUAAUCCCAUUGGCAAGGUCGAAUGUUUGAAACAUCGUUGACAUUUAAUGCUUAAGUCCCGAAAAAUCUAAACGGAGGAGAAAACACUUCAGGCGUGUAUGACAUCCGACGGAAUAGUAAUGUGCAACAAUACAGUUCGGGGAAACCACCGGAAUCUUGCCGCCGGGUGUACGUAUUCCCAAGAGGAGAGAACCACAAGAUGAUUCGGUUGAUUUAACAGAAGAUUAAUUGGCUUCUAUCCAAACUCGUAACAUCUAAAAACUAAUAGGCGCAUUUAGGACCAGCACCAUGCUGAUUUCAUAUGAAAAUAUUGUGGAGAAGCCUCUCCGUUCGGGUCAUCGCUCUUUUUCCGCCUAUGUUACAAGAGAUAUACCGGAAUUAAACUCGUAGUAAAAUCUAUAAAAGCGGUUCGCAAUACAAGCUUCCAGAAGCCUCCGCAGGUUUCCAAACGACGAAGUUAGCUUCCAGCCUCUCACAUACAUUCGUCGAGCUUACACCAUAGAUCAAGUCGUUAUUGUGCUCACUACAUCCGUUUGUGUCGCACAAUGGUUGCGUGGUCACAUUAUGUCGCUGAUUGCUCUCGUGUAAAUCUGUUGGUGAUCUUCUAAGUAAUAGGGUUCCUCACCGCAGUAGGAAUGGCCAUCGUCGACAUUCUUUUCUGCCUUCAGUUAACACCUGGUGUUGAUGAGCUUAUCAUCUUGCCUACACAGCAGACUUGGCAAACCAUUGUUCAAGCAUUUCAAUCUGGAUAACUCGGACGUGCCGCGCAUAGUCGGGUGUUAUGCUGUGCUCGUUUUUCUCCUACCAUUUUGCUCCAGCAUCUUCUUCGUGGUGGCAUUACACGUUUACUAUACUAAUUCUUCAAAAGAAUGCGUGGAAUCCAGCUCAGUGCAUAGUCGGGAAAUGAUUCCUACUUCGUGAUCCAUUACGAAACUUCUAGUAGAUACCAACCGUGGAUGGGUACGCGAAAAGUUGUGUCAGAAACUUUCCGGUUUCUAUAAUUGUAUUUGAAAACUCGUUUAACUGUUGGAGGGAGAAACUCUGGAACGGGAAAUGAGCGACAUGAUGAUGUGAGUAUAGCUUACACGCCGAGGUACAUUGGCAAAGAUUGAACGCACGCUUUAAUAUUUAAAAUAUGGAAUAAAAACGGACGCAAAAAUAAUUUUUAUCUAUAAGCGAACGGUAAAGUUUUGGUAUCCCAAUUUACUUGAUUUUUUUUAGAUCGUUGUUGUUGUUGUUAUUGUUGAUGUUAUUGUUUGGGUUUGUAGGCUUUCGAAUGGAAGUUUUUGAAAAGUUGGAAAAAGAACACCGUUUGCACGAGAGCGUACCACGAGAAGGCAGUCGGGAAAUUACAUUCGAUGAACAGCAACUGAAGUCCGUGCAAGCCAACAAGAAAGAACUGGACCAUUUGGAAAACGGUCAAAUAUUUCUUCCACCACAGAUACUUUUGAACUCGUGGACCCAUCGCUGCCAUCAAAUAGUAGAAGUACAUAAUAAAGUGCACCAAACUGUUGAAAGUGGGGAAGGAAGGAAGCUUGACCACCCGGAAUGAAACGGAAGACAAUCCAUACGGUCAGCGGAAUGCUGGCAUGGUGGAAAACAUGCAGGAAGGUGAUUUGAUUAUCCUUUUUACGCAUGAUGAAAAACAAGUGCAUCCUCGUUGUCGGAGUAAUCCACCGGCUGGCAAAUGAAACUGUAACCGUUGAACCACGUUAGACGGCAAAUAUGGUAGAACAUCCAGCCAUUGAAAACAAUUUGGAACGCGUUGUAAACCAUAAGUGCACCUCGCAACUCAAAGGCUGGCCGGUUUUUCAUUAGUUUUGGACCCAGUAUUUUGACUACAAAUAGGUAAGCCAAGCAAAUCAGCACAGGCGUUUGCGGAUUUUCCGUCAGGAACCAUCCAUCUGUACGCCUAUCUGUUAAGAAACACAAACUCGUACUCGUAAGAUGUGGGAAAGCAAAUAUCUUUUAAUCGUGUAAAAACAUUUUGACACAAGCAGUUACAUUAUUACGCGAUUAUUACAUAAGAAAUAGUACCUCUUUGAUCCCAAAUACGGAUGCUCUCGUCAACAACAGUUUGAAUAACGGAGGCCAUGGUUACACGACAGUAACUGGAAAUGAACUGAUUUGGAUGCCUCGGUGUCCUGAUGGUGUCUAGUCCUGAAUGUCUGUUCUGCUGUGAGCCAUUUUACACAUACUGUAUUAAAGUUUCCAAAGAACCUCCUCUCUCUCUCCCCCCUUCCAUGUUUUCCGUGAGCUAGUUUUUCAUGAUUUCUGCUUUGAAUCGUAUUUGAAUUGUUUCUUUUGUUUUUCUUUUAGCAGUUUUUUUUUACUAACAAGAGCUGGAGUUAGUUACAUCGACCUAGAAUUAUUUUUUAGAGGUCUAUCUUUCCCUAUUUGAUUGAUUUUCAGCGUGAGCGUGCUUUUAAGUCAUACUUAGUUUUCUCCUUUUAAUUUUUCUCCAUUGUUCAAAGCUACAAACAGAUCGAUGCAUGUAGCCUAUUUAAUUAAUUUAACGCCACCUAAGCCAAGAAGUGAUGAACAGGUUAACUUAUUUUCUCUGUUUUUACAGAGAAUCAAUUGAGCGAAGAAUUUAGUUACAGGAGAUGGAAAACAAGCCGGAGGACAAAAAAAAAAAACAAAACGAGAUUAAAGAUUAAUUUUUGUAAUGACAUACAACGAGUUUUGAGAAAAUGGGGCGUCACAACUGCAUUUCGUUUGCGCUAAAUUAACAGUACCUGGCGCCAUAGUCCGAACUUGUUUUUCGUCUCUGAAAGAACGGGAUGCCAAAUUCUUGAAGAAAAAAAAAGUCCCGAAAAAACAGGAUUGCCAAUCAAAUGAUUGUUCUACAUGUAAAAAGAAGACGACUGUACGAGAUAUAAGGAUUUGAUUAUGCCUGUUAUUUGGAUUUAGGCAACUUAUGUCUCGGUUUUACAAAGAGUUUGAACUGGAUCCAAAAAUGCAACUGAAGUAGGACGGGCAAUCCACGUAUGCGUAUGUGUGUCAUUCAGUUUUGGGUUCAAACUGCUAUGGGUGGUAAAAAAACAGGUCAAAAUUUAUCCUAUUUUUGUUUCUUAUUUAAAAACAAAUCAGACCAUUUUUCUAACCCUUUUUAUUUUUUAGUUUUGAAAAUAGAGUUGCAACAAUUUUAUUUAAAGGCGAAAAUAAUUAACACACAGACAAAACUCUACAUAUGUUUCUUGUGGUUGCUGACAUUGUUGUUGUUAUUGAUGUCUGACUUUGAAGAGGAAUCCAUUUUCUUAUUUUUGCGGUACGUGUGUCUAUAGAAGUUGAGAAACAUCAGAAGGAAAAACACUUCGUGGAUGCCAAUCCAACAGGACAUAAGGUAAGGGAAAUCGCAGUCAAUAAAGAGCAAUUGGAAACAGUGAAUGGACGCAGCAAUGAAUUGAACCAUCUGAAAAGUGGUAAGGUAUUUCUUCCAUCCAAGGUAUUUUUGAACUUGUGGCCCCAUCGCCGCCAAGAAGUAAUAGAAAUACAUGACAACAUGCACAAGCGAAUUGAGAAAUGCGAAAAAUGAGCCGUGGCCUCCACAAACGAAACGGAUCCCCGGCCACAAAGUGGUAGGAAUCCAGCCGUGGUGUAUAAUGUGAAGCCACGUGAUUUGAUUAUUUUUCUUGCGUAGGAUGAAGAAAAAUGUGUCGAAUAAGUCGACGAACUUUGAAAGGUAGAACACGUAACAUGCUCUAAGAACCCGAACAGCUGCUUCGUCAUACGAAUAGUCAACUGGUUGGCAGACAAAACUGUAAUUCCCGCUGAGCCAUCCGUAGCGGCUUAGUUCGUAGAACACCCAGACAUUGACGACAAUCUGAAAGAGGUUGUAGAACAGUAAAACUCGUCGCAAGUCAUACGGUGGCCGGUUUUCCAUAAAUUUUGGCCCCAAAACUUUGACGAUAAAGAUGUAAGCCAGGCAAAUUGCCAUCGCAGGUAAAGGGGAGCUCAUCAAUGGCCAGCCUUCCACUCUCGCAUCUAAAAAUGAACAGGAAUCAAUUAUCAUUUUUUUUUUUUUGUAAACUAAAAUUGCACAGAUGACAUAAAAACGACGAAGAAGAUUUUCCCACCUCUCUGUUCCCAUAACUUGUUGGUAUAAUAGGCGAUGGAGUCAACAAGCGCAGCCAUUUUUAGGCAAAGCAAUUCUCGGUUUUUCAAACUUUUUUUUUUGACGAAUGUGAAAAACGGUGCGAUUUUCAGUAUGUGGUUGUCAUAAGAGAGGCCAAGAGGUGUUGCUCAAGAGCUCCCCGGAAUGUGAUGGACUAUUACGCGUCGGUUUUUAUGUCUCCUUUAUAUAGCCUUCCACCAGUUCUACGAGAACAAAGCAAGAUGUAUCCACUGGUUCGAUCUACCUGUGCUACACAAAAUAGAUCAUUUGAAUGAACCUUUCACUUCCGCUAACCUCAAUUAAUCCCGUCCAACUAGUUUUCCCGGUUGACUUUCAUUGCACCGUAUAAACUGUAGUCCACACGAUUUCAACGAAAAAAAAUGACAAAAGGGGGUCGUUUCGGAGAAGAUCCAUAAGGAGGUUUCAAAAUUGUUUGCUUCUGCAUUUGUUAGCCACCUGAGCAGCCACUAAACGAUCGUGAUCAACGAAUUGUUAUUGUAGAUUAUUUCUUAUGUCUGAUUCUUCUGGUCUAAUGCGAUGUCUGGUUAUAUAAGAUUUCCGCUUUCACGUCCUAGAACAGGUGUUUCAGAUUAGUAAGACUAAGCAUGUAUUUUCGAAAUAAACUUUCACAUUCACAAAUUUUCGUUGAACGAAAGUGAAACACCAUUUUUGUAAAAUUUGAGAAAAGCAACUGAAUAGAGACACUGAUGUGAAUUCCCUUUCGUUUUUGCUUCUCCUAAAUACCACGAGGAGUUCGAGGAAAAUACACUGAUGUUUACAUUUC
This 5058-nucleotide long non-coding RNA is filed under the name Daphnia magna. RNAcentral describes it as "uncharacterized LOC116916403, transcript variant X1". Lineage: Eukaryota; Metazoa; Arthropoda; Branchiopoda; Diplostraca; Daphniidae. The record is from RNAcentral.